Molecule: ribosomal RNA, 253 nt
Filed under: uncultured bacterium
Lineage: Bacteria
Description: partial 16S ribosomal RNA
Rfam family: Bacterial small subunit ribosomal RNA
Source: RNAcentral
UACAGAGGUCCCAAGCGUUGUUCGGAUUCAUUGGGCGUAAAGGGUGCGUAGGCGGCGCGGUAAGUCGGGUGUGAAAUCUCGGAGCUUAACUCCGAAACUGCAUUCGAUACUGCCGUGCUUGAGGACUGGAGAGGAGACUGGAAUUUACGGUGUAGCGGUGAAAUGCGUAGAUAUGCGGAGGAACACCGAUGGCGAAGGCAAUCCCCUGGACCUGUACUGACGCUCAUGCACGAAAGCGUGGGGAGCAAACAGG